This 991-nucleotide long non-coding RNA is filed under the name Equus caballus (horse). RNAcentral describes it as "lncRNA (ENSECAG00000053576.1)". Lineage: Eukaryota; Metazoa; Chordata; Mammalia; Perissodactyla; Equidae. The record is from RNAcentral.
CAGGGCGCUGUGCUGCGUCUGCCCUUGAGGGGCCGGGGUCCCUGGGGAAGGCGCCAUAGAGCGCCAUCGUUGGCAUGUGCCCCCUCCCCGUCUUCGAGGUGUGUGGGAGGCGCUGGCAUCACUUAAUGAGGCCUCCUCGGCUGCCAGGAGGAGUUGAAACAGGUUCUGGGUGAGCAUGGCUUGCCAAGCAGUGCACAGGUCUGCACCUGGGAUCCGAACUGACAAACCCUGGGCUGCCGAAGUGGAACAUGUGAACUUAACCACGAUGCCACCAGGCCGGCUCCAUGAGGGCGUUUUCUUAAAAGCUUUGUUUAAAACGACAGAGAGAGAGGGGUGGGGAGAAAGAGAGAGACACUUGGGUUCAUUGCCUCGAUUUCCAAUAAUGCCCAAAACUUGAAGCAACCACGUCUGAAUUGAGAGGGCUGUGUGACUGACAGCUGUGGUUCGGAUCCCAGCUCUGCCUGCCCCCUGGCUGACCUUGGGCAGGGGGCCUCACUGCUCCGGCCUCAGUUUCCCCAUCUGUGAAAUGAGGACAAUACCAGUCCGUCCACCUGCCCGCUUGUGAAGAUUAAAUGAGUUAAAGCGUGUAGUUCAUGAACAGUGGCAACUCCAGUGUGAACAAUUUGGUGACAGUCUUUCCAGACGUUUCUCUCUGUACCUGCAUACGUGGAUAGAGGUGAACAUGACACUGUAUCAAUCGGAUCACCUCCUCUUCCCUCAGUAAUUGAUCACAAGCAUUUUCUCACAUCCAAGAACGUAGCACUCCUCCGUCAUUUAAAAAUGUUUAACUUUCGUUAAUUUUCGUCAGUAGCUAAUACAUUCACACAGCCCCAAAUACCAGAAGUACGAGACAUAACAGUACAAGUCUGUCCCCUCCUGCCGGGUCCCCAGCCUCUCAGGUCCUCCCUGAGACCUUUCCUUGUUUUGCUUUCCAGAAGGGUUCCACGCACCUACAAACAAAAACAUUUAUUUGCUUUCUGUUUUCCCUCAG